Molecule: small RNA, 1096 nt
Filed under: Pongo abelii (Sumatran orangutan)
Lineage: Eukaryota; Metazoa; Chordata; Mammalia; Primates; Hominidae
Description: retained intron
Source: RNAcentral
GAUCACUUAACCUUUCUUUUCCACUCAGUGUAAAUCAGCAGUCCCUAACCUUUUUGGCACCAGGGACCAGUUUGGUGGGAGAUGAUUUUCCCAUGGACAGGGCAGUUGGCAGGGGUGUGGCGGCGGAUGGUUUCGGAAUGAAACUGUCCCACCUCUGAUCAUCAGGCAUUCGAUUCUCACAAGGAGCAUGUGGCCUAGAUCCCUGGCGUGCACAGUUCACAAUAGGGUUCAGGCUCCUAUGAGAACUGAAUGACAGCAGGUGGAGCUCAGGCCACAAUACUAGCUUGCCUGCCACUCAUCUGCUCUGCAACCCAGUUCCUAACAGGCCACCAAACAGUACUGGUCUGCAGCCCAGGGAUUGGGGACCCCUGCUGUAAAUAACAGAAGCAAGAGGUGAAAAGCAAACAGAAGAAACCCCAGCAUUGCUGACCACUUCUUGGGUUUGCCCGGCCCCUUGGCUUUCCACAGGCUGGCCCUGACGAAGCUGGACAUCCUGGACGUACUGGGUGAGAUUAAAGUCGGCGUCUCAUACAAGCUGAACGGGAAAAGGAUUCCCUAUUUCCCAGCUAACCAGGAGAUGCUUCAGAAGGUCGAAGUCGAAUAUGAAACGCUGCCUGGCUGGAAAGCAGACACCACAGGCGCCAGGAGGUGGGAGGACCUGCCCCCGCAGGCCCAGAACUACAUCCGCUUUGUGGAGAAUCACGUGGGAGUCGCAGUCAAAUGGGUUGGUGUUGGCAAGUCAAGAGAGUCGAUGAUCCAGCUGUUUUAGUCGCAGACUGAGCUGAUCCCAACAGGCCCUGGCAGCGUCUGGACUUGUAUAAACAGCAGCAAUCACGUUCCUCGGCCACCACAACCAACACCAAAGCAGGAAAACCAUUUUCUGUACUUUUAUAUUUCUGUUCAACCUGUUGGUUUCUACAAUGAUUUUAAACAUUGGAAAGCCAGCCUUGUGUAUAUUUUUAAAAAUUAUAUUUAAAAUGAGCCAAAGUGCUCAAAGCAGAGACCUUCUAUGACACCUUAGUGUCACAUGGUUGCGUGUCCAGCCGAAGCAGCGUAAUAAACAUCUCCAAUGGCCGCCGAAUGGGAGCAGUCAUUA